RNAcentral lists this unclassified non-coding RNA (204 nucleotides) under Hevea brasiliensis (rubber tree). The record is from RNAcentral. Lineage: Eukaryota; Viridiplantae; Streptophyta; Magnoliopsida; Malpighiales; Euphorbiaceae.
AUAAAAUUAAAAAAAAAAACUUUUUGACCCAGUAAAGUUUGUUCUCUAUUUUUUAGGAAUUAAUUUUAUUUUUAUUUUUUAACGUUACUUGCUUGCUACUUUUAAAGAAUAGUAGUCUAAUAUCUCUUAUUAGUAUAUUAAAAUUAGGGAUUUUUUUAUCAUUGAAAAAACACAUUUUUUUUGUUCAUGAAUCACCCAUUAUCG